This 2572-nucleotide long non-coding RNA is filed under the name Homo sapiens (human). RNAcentral's name for it is "uncharacterized LL0XNC01-250H12.3, transcript variant 1 (LL0XNC01-250H12.3)". Lineage: Eukaryota; Metazoa; Chordata; Mammalia; Primates; Hominidae. The record is from RNAcentral.
AUAACGGCGACCGUGAAGACUUUUAAAAUAGAGACCAACGUGGCCGGGCAGGAAGAGCAGGGUCCCGCCUUCAGGUGUUUGGGACUCAGCUGAGGGUGUGGGUGCCCCGCGGUGGGGGCUGAACCUUCCUGGGGUGUGGAGAGACGAAAGGAGCCCAGAUCCAAGUUCCCUCGUUCCCGCUUUGGCAUAAGUUGCCCUGGCGGUCUCAUGAGAGAGAGAAAGAGCUGGGACCCUCCUCGCCCCAGUGAGUGUGAUGUCUUGCUCCGGGUGUCCUGGGGCAACUUUCUAUACAGGCGGGACGUGGGAGGAUCAGACAGUGUAACAUCAGACAAGGGUGUUGACUCUGCAGCACAGAACCAGUAGUUUGUGGAGAAGAAUGGAGGUGUGGUGUUGAAUCUGCUAGACAGGCUACUGAAGCAAAAGUCAAGAGAUCCAGAUUCCAUCAUGGGGACACUUUAGUUCUUCAUCGGGUAAUUGAGCUGAUAUCAGGUGUCUGAAGGAGGCAAGUUUUGAAGAUGUGGGUCAUGAUGGCUGCUGAAGCUUCCACUCCAUAUUUGAAGGUCAGCAGUUCUCAGGAAACCUCUAGCACUUCCAUCCCUGGUGGGAUGUGAUGCCUGUCUCAGUGUAACAUCAGAGAAGGGGUGUACUCUGUGCCCUAGAACUAGGAGCUAACAGAGAAAAACCAAAUGUGAUGUGGAGUCUGCUAGACAGGCUACUGGAGCAAGAGUGAAGCGAUGAAAGUCUCAUCAUUGGGACAUAUUAGUGUGACAUGCAUAAAGGAAUUUCUUAUUGAGCCCCAGGAAGAAGAAACACUACAUAAGAGCAAAUAAUAAAAUCGGUCAGAUAGACAGAAGAUGGGAGUCAUCAAACCUGUAUCCCUCUUGCCAGACCUAUCAACUGACCAUACGUCAUUCAGGAGGCAGCAGGUGGCUGAAAUCCUGGUGUGAUGUGGCUGGAUCAUGCAUGAUCUGAGGACUCCUGCACAGGUGACUGCAGGAUGAGUACAGAAUUUUUCUAUAAAUAUACUAAAAUACCAAGUAAGCCAGGAGCAGCCACUAGGCAAACACCAAACCUUGCAUUCCUGGCCAAACCUAUCACAGAGCUCAUCAGAUGCAGUGGAUCCCCAGGUUGCAAGUCAUAUAACCUGAGCAUGCCCAGAUGAACCAAGUAUGCCUGAUUGGUGAACCUGGAACUGGCCAGAACAGAAAAUGUCAACCACAUGUGGAAUCUAAGUAUUCAGAUUGAGAAAUGAGGACCAAAAUGAGAACACUGAGCUCCUCACACAGGUGACUGAACCCGUGGUUUUGGUGUCUGAGAAGAUGCAGCUUCUCCAGUCUCUGCAACUGACGGCAGGAAGAUGGGAGCACUCAGCUUCAGUGUUCAGAAGCAGAUUUAGGCCAAUUGCCAUACCUUACGUUCUGGAGGGAUCCACCCUGACCUGAGCAGAAGGCAUCACACACAUUCCCAAGCAGCAUGGUUCCCGUGAGAAACUGAAAACUAAUUUCUUGAAUCUACAAUGCGACUUCCAUCUUCCAGGUGUAACCAGAGUUUUUCCUGGAGCGAUUCCAGCUUGUUUCCUUUUGGUGCCUUCCUUAAGAAAUUUUGCAGCUGUUUCUGGUGCAGUUUUUGGGUGGGCUCUGGGGUGGGCAGACGAUCUCCACUUUGCAGAGGCUGCUCUUGUGAGUGGAGCUGGUGGUGAGGGAGUAGGAGAGGCCUCGCAUCAUCCUGGCAUUCAGGCCCUUAGCCAUGGAGAAGGACUUGAGGUGGCUUCUUAAGGUACUGGGGAGCGGGAGCUUGUCCACCAGAUGCACAGGUGUGCAGGACACGAUGGUGCGGCAGCAGAGGUCUUGCAAGCUCAGUACCUUGCUCGGCCUCCCGAGCCAAUUCAUCCUGUGCCGCAGCAGCACUAUCCUGGCCAGCUCCGUGAAAGACUCUAUGAUGUUGAAAUUGCACAGAGGGCUGACCUCAAAGAAGGUCACACCCAGGCGCUCGGCGUAGGCCUGGGCCUGCUCCCUGGGCACCUGCCUCUUGAAUGCCAGAUGUAGGCGAUUCCCCACCAGGAUUUUAGGGACACCAGGGGCAUGUUCCUCAAUCUUCUUAAUCCAUCGAUCCAUACCCUCGAAAGACCAGCGGUUUGCAAUGUCGUAGACCAGGAUCACUCCUUGUGCACCACGAGAGUAGGAGCGGAAUAUGGUACAAAAUCUUCCCUGCCCCGACGUAUCCCAGAGCUUCAGCUUCACCCGCUGGCCGUCCAGCAGGAUGGUGGUCGUCUUGUAGUCGAUCCCCCCGAGAUGGCUGUACGGGGACUCAGCUGCACCAUCCUGCAGGCUCUCCAGGAUCUCACUCUUGCCUACGUCCCUGUCGCCCACCAGCAGGAACUUGAGCAGGAAGUCAUAGGCCUGGUCGGGGCUGCCCGGGGCGCUCAUGGUGCUGGCCCCGCACUCCCGCCUGAGCCAGGCCCGCGGGGUUGUGCGCAGAGGUGGUGCCGGGCCUGUUCUUCUUGAGAAAUUAGCAUAGAACAUAAAAAAUGAGAUGGGGAAGUCUGUGAAAUAAAGCGAAAUGAGGUGGUGGC